UACGUAGGGGGCAAGCGUUGUCCGGAUUUAUUGGGCGUAAAGAGCGUGUAGGCGGCCACACAGGUCCGCUGUGAAAACUCGAGGCUCAACCUCGAGCUGUCGGUGGAAACCGUGUGGCUAGAGUCCGGAAGAGGAGAGUGGAAUUCCCGGUGUAGCGGUGAAAUGCGCAGAUAUCGGGAAGAACACCCGUGGCGAAGGCGGCUCUCUGGGACGGUACUGACGCUGAGGUGCGAAGGCCAGGGGAGCAAACGGG
Molecule: ribosomal RNA, 253 nt
Filed under: uncultured bacterium
Lineage: Bacteria
Description: partial 16S ribosomal RNA
Rfam family: Bacterial small subunit ribosomal RNA
Source: RNAcentral